RNAcentral lists this ribosomal RNA (301 nucleotides) under uncultured bacterium. RNAcentral describes it as "partial 16S ribosomal RNA". It matches the Rfam family "Bacterial small subunit ribosomal RNA", at positions 509 to 809 of the family's 1533-position model. The record is from RNAcentral.
CAGUCGCCGCGGUAAUACGUAGGUGGCAAGCGUUGUCCGGAAUUAUUGGGCGUAAAGGGCUCGCAGGCGGUUUCUUAAGUCCGAUGUGAAAGCCCCCGGCUCAACCGGGGAGGGUCAUUGGAAACUGGGAAACUUGAGUGCAGAAGAGGAGAGUGGAAUUCCACGUGUAGCGGUGAAAUGCGUUGAGAUCGGAAAGAACACCAACGGCGAAAGCACUCUGCUGGGCCGACACUGACACUGAGAGACGAAAGCUAGGGGAGCAAAUGGGAUUAGAUACCCGUGUAGUCCCUGUCUCUUAUAA